This 314-nucleotide ribosomal RNA is filed under the name uncultured eukaryote. Its description in RNAcentral is "partial 18S ribosomal RNA". It matches the Rfam family "Eukaryotic small subunit ribosomal RNA", at positions 1470 to 1796 of the family's 1831-position model. The record is from RNAcentral.
CCCCUAGAUGUUCUGGGCCGCACGCGCGCUACACUGAACAGUUCAACAAGUCUUAACCUUGGCCGAUAGGUCUGGGUAAUCUUUGAACGCUGUUCGUGAUUGGGAUAGACCUUUGCAAUUAUGGGUCUUCAACGAGGAAUUCCUAGUAAACGCAAGUCAUCAGCUUGCAUUGAUUACGUCCCUGCCCUUUGUACACACCGCCCGUCGCACCUACCGAUUGAAUGGUCCGGUGAAGCCUCGGGAUUGCGAAUGCUUCGUGCGGACGCGAGAACUUGGCUAAACCUUACCAUUUAGAGGAAGGUGAANUCGUAACA